Chiloscyllium plagiosum (whitespotted bambooshark) is the source of this 829-nucleotide non-coding RNA. The record is from RefSeq and is a predicted model, not a curated record. NCBI's taxonomy places the organism in Eukaryota, Metazoa, Chordata, Chondrichthyes, Orectolobiformes, Hemiscylliidae.
GAAGCUGAUUUGUAUCCUGUCCCUUACAAACCAGCUUCUGGUUUUAAUAGAAAUGGGUUGAGAAGUGGCCAAUUAACCUGCUUUCCAGAUGCUCACCCUUCAAUUAAAUAUCCUAAUGAGGCUUCAAAUUUAACACCUGUGAGCCAGGUUUCCCAGCACUCAGGGAACUUGGCAGUGAAAAGCAAUAUUUUUAAAAUGUAAAUCUGGGCAUUCAAGCUUUGCUGCUUUCUUCAGGCUUUUAAUAACUGGUGGAGGCUAUAUGAUCAAGUCAUACAACAUAUUCUCGAUGAGCGAAAAAUCAAGUUCCUGUAGACUUCUCACUGACAUGGACAAGGCACCUAUGAAGAGCUGUUCAAGAACCCAGAGUAUCGUGUUGCAGGGAAAUAGGCAAGUUGAAUCCAGAGCACAUCAUCACAUAAUGUGAUUGGAACAUCAAGCACUCCAGUGCCACUACUGGGAAGAACCUUGUACUACAGGCAAGCAACAGAAUGGAUUAUGUCAGAUGCAACAAGAAAAACACUUGAUUUUGUGAUUACUGCAAAGCUCAAUUUUCACAGAAAAGCACCAUAUCAGCAACAACAGUGAUUUAAUCAGGUCUAAGUUGUUUGUUUGCAAAGAGUAAUUAAUCAUCACAUUCCAUUGUGAAACUGUGAAUACCUAACUUAUAGAAGGUAAUUUUCAUAUUAUUCUCUGGCAUGAAGAACCUUGCCUGCUGCUAACAUAGGAAAAUUGCCAGUAGUAUGUCCCAUAGUUUUCUGAUAUGUCAUGGUAGUUUGCAAGACUUUUCACUACCAGUGAGUGUACAGCUAAAAUUUCCCCUUUUUAUAUA